GUGGUGGUUCAAUGGUAGAAUUCUCGCCUCCCACGUGGGAGACCCGGGUUCAAAUCCCAGCCAACACA
This 68-nucleotide transfer RNA is filed under the name Loxodonta africana (African savanna elephant). It matches the Rfam family "tRNA". From Rfam's summary of the family: Transfer RNA (tRNA) molecules are approximately 80 nucleotides in length. The record is from Rfam by way of RNAcentral. Lineage: Eukaryota; Metazoa; Chordata; Mammalia; Proboscidea; Elephantidae.